Molecule: unclassified non-coding RNA, 335 nt
Filed under: soil metagenome
Description: partial contains 5.8S ribosomal RNA, internal transcribed spacer 2, and large subunit ribosomal RNA
Rfam family: 5.8S ribosomal RNA (bases 1-121)
Source: RNAcentral
GAUGAAGAACGUAGCGAAAUGCGAUAAGUAAUGCGAAUUGCAGAAUUUCCGUGAAUCAUCGAAUCUUUGAACGCACAUUGCGCCCGCCAGUAUUCUGGCGGGCAUGCCUGUUCGAGCGUCAUUUCAACCAUCAAGCCCCAGGCUUGUGUUGGAGCCCUGCGGCUGCCGCAGCCUCCCAAAACCAGUGGCGGGCUCGCUAUCACACCGAGUGCAGUAGUUUACUCUUCGCUCAGGGCGUGUGGCGGGUGCUAGCCGUAAAACCCCCAACUUCUCAAGGUUGACCUCGGAUCAGGUAGGAAUACCCGCUGAACUUAAGCAUAUCAAUAAGCGGAGGA